GACGAACGCUGGCGGCGUGCUUAACACAUGCAAGUCGAGCGGUAAGGCCCUUUCGGGGGUACGACGAGCGGCGAACGGGUGAGUAACACGUGGGUGACCUGCCCUCAGCUCUGGGAGUAAGCCUCGGGAAACCGGGUCUAAUACUGGAUAUGACUCCAUGACGCAUGUUGUGGGGUGGAAAGCCUUGUGCGGCUGAGGAUGGGCCCGCGGCCUAUCAGCUUGUUGGUGGGGGUGAGGCCUACCAAGGCGACGACGGGUAGCCGGCCUGAGAGGGCGACCGGCC
Molecule: ribosomal RNA, 283 nt
Filed under: uncultured bacterium
Lineage: Bacteria
Description: partial 16S ribosomal RNA
Rfam family: Bacterial small subunit ribosomal RNA
Source: RNAcentral